Non-coding RNA from Syphacia muris, 114 nucleotides. Lineage: Eukaryota; Metazoa; Nematoda; Chromadorea; Rhabditida; Oxyuridae. The record is from Rfam.
GUUGGUUAUGGAGAUAUGACGCCACACACAGCUUUGGGACGGCUUGUUGGAAGCCUUUGCGCAGUAAUGGGAGUAUUAACCAUUGCGUUACCGGUUCCGGUAAUCGUUGGCAAU